Molecule: ribosomal RNA, 253 nt
Filed under: uncultured bacterium
Lineage: Bacteria
Description: partial 16S ribosomal RNA
Rfam family: Bacterial small subunit ribosomal RNA
Source: RNAcentral
GACGAACCGUGCAAACGUUAUUCGGAAUCACUGGGCAUAAAGGGCGCGUAGGCGGCUUCAUAAGUCAGGGGUGAAAUCCGGCAGCUUAACUGUCGCAGUGCCUUUGAUACUGUGGAGCUCGAGGCGGGUAGGGGCAUGCGGAACUGUGGGUGGAGCGGUGAAAUGCGUUGAUAUCCACAGGAACUCCGGUGGCGAAGGCGGCAUGCUGGACCCGAUCUGACGCUGAGGCGCGAAAGCCAGGGGAGCAAACGGG